Long non-coding RNA from Neocloeon triangulifer, 1327 nucleotides. RefSeq lists it as uncharacterized. Lineage: Eukaryota; Metazoa; Arthropoda; Insecta; Ephemeroptera; Baetidae. The record is from RefSeq and is a predicted model, not a curated record. The transcript is spliced from 3 exons.
CGUACAUUUUAGGGGAAUAAACGCAGGAAAGCGUGUAAGUGACUCGGUGUUCGCUGGGAAUGACUGGCUGAGCGCCAUUUAUCCCAUCACCUGUCCGUCAAAUUGUUAUUGCAUUACGCGCGGGGCGAUGUUACAUGAGCGCACGUCCAUUAUUCCAAGAGCGCACUCCAAGCUAGACACCGUGAAAUUGUAACUUGCGACCGGUAAUGACACACCAGCCACCUAAUUACACCACUUUUACCCACCGAAAGAAAGUACCGAGCGACAAAAAUACACAACAGAAUAAUAGUUUCCAAGAAAAGAAGGACAUUUCACGGACAGAAUUUCACUCAACCACCUACACGACUGACAAAAGCCGAGGAAUUCCCAAGCUCCUUUUUACCUGAUCGCAUCUCUCUCUCUCCCGCGCUUUUUGCACAAACACAAGUGCAUUAUUCGACCCCCUCUUGCCUGACAAAGGGGCUGAAAACAUUAUUUUGGCGUCUUCCCAGAAAAAAUCACGCAGCCAAUAGAGCACACUGGCUCAUUCACCAUGCAGUCCAUUACGCAAAUUGUGCUGUUACAUUGUGUCUACAUUCAUCUGUUUGGUCAGUCAUCAAGAAAAGUGCCGGCGCAAGGCAAACACCUGGAAUCGGCCUGCAGUUGAUGAUGACGGAAUAAAUAAACAUAGUUCGCCGCGAGCAAAAAGCUGUUGCGCGAUAAACGCGUGCGACCGACGUCAUUGUAAAGUAGCCCGAGUAUGUCGAGUGAUUAUUACUAUUAUUUUAUUGUUGGCUGCUUCGUAGAUCCGCGAGGAAUGCAGCGGAAAAUCAAUUGCAAUUGUUAAAAUAAAAUUCUGCUAAUAGAGAAUGACGCAGAUACAACUUUUCCCAGGAUAUAAUUUGAUGCCAAUUAAAUGUCUUUCUCUGUGUUCUAAGUUUAAUGUGGCGAAGAGAUGAUUAAAAAAAAUAUUAUAAAAGGGCACAACGUGCGUCACUCCUGACAAGAUGCAUCAGUGCGGGAAGGAUUUUUUACGUUUUUUUCCAAGAGUACAGAGCUUGGGGUCGGCGCGUGAGGUCAGAUGAACCCUUUGCUUUAUCACAAGACCCCAAUCAACUGGACAACAUUUACCGACACAACUGGCUGCUGGUAUGUAAAUUCACUCUUUUAUCAACCGCAGCAUCUCCGAUUUCAAAAUAUAACCGAGUUGACAUAUGGCGGGGGCCAUUCUUUGUACUCCAAUCAGAACAAUAAUUAUUGAAGUGUGCGCUUCAUUUUACCAUCUUGAUAAACACACAGACCAUACUUCAGUUCAUUUAAUAAUUUUUUGCUUCAAUUUGGACAGCUG